GCAAAUCAUUGCUGGCUCUUCCUCUCCUUCUUGCACACACCAUCUCAGCACCUCUUGGAACCGGCAUUUUUGUUCUCUGAGCCUCAUUUAACCAAGAGGCAUGUAUCCAGUUGAUCUGUUGAUGAUCCUUCGUCGAGGAUUCAGGAUCGGAUGGUAUCUCUGUGUGACUGAAAUGAACCACCUGUUGUCUUCAAAUGAAAUUCCUGAAUUCUUUGAGACAUCUGAAUUAUGUUAUCAAGCCUUCAGAAAGGCUCCUGGUGCAGCUGCACUCCAGAGCAGUUCUGCCCUACUGAGUCCUCUUGAAGUUGGAUGGAUUUCCAUGGAAGAGGGGCCUGCAGAGUUGAUAAUCGAACAAAGAAAAGAGAAAAUUAAAUUCACCUAUACCAACCAAGUGGGCAAACGAGGGCAAUCCAAUGUCAAAUAAAGGACGUUUCGAACGUCCAUCUUAACGGACACUUGUUUUAUUGGAAAACCCGGCCAGAAAUGCCCUCAACCCAAAGGUUUUCUUAUGAGCUUUCAGUUUGCAUCUUAAUGCUAUUUUUAUAGCAUCUGGGUUGGUUUUCAUCUACCAUAAAUAGAAAAAAAACAAAACAAAACAAAACCAACAAACCACUGAGUUGAGGAAUUGAAAAGAUAAUUUGAGCAGAGUGAUGAGUAGGUAGGGUAUGGAAUAAAAAUGCCAGUUCUUCAUAUAGAAAAAUGUUCUAUUCUAGAAAAGGAAAAAAAAAAAAACCCUCUUCUGGUUCUAAAAAAAGUCAUUUCAGUGAUUCUUGUUUUGUUCAAUUUGGAAGUGCAGGUAUAGCAAUUCUAAUUUCUUAAAUGCCUACUGCUCUGUAAAUUGAACAGAAAAGAUGUAAUUAAGUGUGUAUAAUUUACUUGAAAUGAAAUUAGGUUCAAAUUUAAUUCUUCCUCUGUGUGCAUUGUAGUGUGGAAAAUGCCAGAUUUUUAAUAAUCUUCCAGAAAAAAAUGACGUUUCCUUAUAUUAGGAUCUAAUAUAAUUGGAAGGAUGCCUGGCUCAGUGGUUGAGCAUCUGCCUUUGGCUCAGGUUGUGAUCCCGGGGUCCUGGGAUCGAGUCCUGCAUCAGGCUCCCUGUGGGGAGCCUUCCUUUCUCUCUGCCUAUGUCUCUGCCUCUCUGUGUGUCUCUCAUGAGUAAAUAAAUAAAAUCUUUUAAAGAGAAAAUAAUAUUCGUGUAGCUUCAGUGGAGACUAUAGGGUUGUGUCUAAUCUAAAGAACAUAUUGAUUCCUAUGGAAGAUCAGGUGGUGUUUCUCCUCUUGCUGUUGACACAUCGUAUACCUCUGAUGCAUGAGGUAGCCCAGGGGCCUCUAGCAAGUCCAUGCUACAACUCCAGCCAGGAUCUAGAGAAUGAAGUUUAUCGGUUUUCCCCUAGAAAAGGGAACUUGUAUUAGUAUCAUACUAAUAUGCCAGAAAAUAGGAACUCACAGCUUUAUCAAGCCUGCCCAAAAUGAGAUCUUAGACAAAUUUCAGAUAUAUUAGAUAGUAUCAAGCCCUGAUCUAAAAGAAAAAUAAUGACCAUAUUGUGUGAUUACUCUGUGCCAGGCUGUACUUAAGUGUGUCGUUUAUCACAUCAUUUAAUUAUUUUACCAGCCCUGUGAAAUAGGUACUAUUAAUAUUUCCAUUUAACAGAUGAAGAAACUGAGACUAAGAAAUGUUCAUUUAUUUCCCCAAGAUCACAUUGCCAGUAUGUGUUGGGACUGUGAUGUACAUUGUGUGUGUGUGUGUGUGUGUGUGUGUGUGUGUGUGUGUGUGUGAGAGAGAGAGAGAGAGACAGAGAGAGAGAGAGAGAGAGUGAUCUACCUCUUGAAAGAUACUUUACUCUUGCCUCUGUUCCUACACAAAGUCCUCUAGGCUACACAUAGUAUUGUUGUGAUAGAGGAGUUGGAAUAUAAAGUUUCUGUGAGUACCAUAUUACUAAAUGGUACAGUGUUUUAUGAACAAACUGGAUACAAAUAAAUUUUUAGCAUUCCCUAUAAAGCAGCACAAGGUAUAAAUGUGAUAUUUUGAAACCAGGACAUUCUUUUUUUUUUUUUUUUAAACCAGGACAUUCUUUAAAAAAAAAAAAAAAAAAGAUUGUAUUUAUUUGAGAGAGAGAGAAUACGAGCAAGGUGGGGAGGCACAGAGGCAGAGGGAGGAGAAACAGGCUCCUUGCUGAGCCAGGAGGCCAACACUGCUCUCAAUUCCAGGACCCUGGGAUCAUGACCUAAGCCAAAGUCAGAUGCUUAACCGACUGAGCUACCCAGGCACCCCGAAACCCGGACAUUCUUAAGAUUUCAUGCUUGAUUUUUUUUUUAAGAUUUACUUAUUUAUUUUUUAGAGAGAGAGAGAGCAUGAGCAGGAGGGUUGGGGAGAAGGUGCAGACUCCACAUUGAGUUCAAAGUGCUAUCUAGGGUUUGAUCCCACAACCCAGAGAUCAGGACCUGAGCCCAAACCAAGAGUCAGACGCUUAACCAACUGCACCACUCAGGCGCCCCCAUCAUGCUUGAUUUUUUUUUUAAGAUUUUUAUUUAUUUAUUCAUGAGAGACACAGAGAGAGAGAGAGAGAGAGAGAGAGAGAGAGAGAGAGGCAGAGACACAGACAGAGGGAGAAGCAGGCUCCAUGCAGGGAACCUGAUGUGGGACUUGAUCCCAGGACUCCAGGAUCACACCCUGGGCCAAGGGCAGGCACUAAACCACUGAGCCACCCAGGGAUACCCCAUGCUUGAUUUUUUAAUUGGCACGUGGUCUUGGUUUCCCCAAUGUAGCUAUGAAUAUAGAUUCCUGGGCUUUUUGUUGUCUUUGAACUAUUUUGUAACUCUGGAAGUCUCAGAAAUGUGAAGAUGAAUCUUGUCUCUAGAAAUGCAAAUGAAUUUUGUCAAGAGGAAUGCAAAUGAUUGUCACUCUGUGGACAAUCACACCAAUUUUGCAUCUAUGAGUAAAUUCAUUUCAGUAUUCCUGAUUUUGUGUGUGUAUUGCUUGAACUCCCCUUUGAACCCGCUGUAAUAUCUGACCCAUUCUCCCAUUUGAGUUAAAUAAAAUCUUUGACAUGUGUUCAUUUUGUAUUUGUAUAUGACUCAUGAUUUCACCAUGAAAAAAUUGUUUUCCCCUUUAACUUUCCCUUUAUUCCUUCUUUCCAUUUUUUCAUCUAUUACAGCGGGCAGAUCUAUCCCCAAAUGCUGUUUCUGUAUGCCCACUAGCUAAGAAUGAUGUUGUUUUAGCAACUUUUUUUAAAAAAGAAAAAAUAUUUUGUGACAUGUGAAAAUUUUACAAAAUUUAAACUUUGAAUAAACUUUAAAUAAAGUUUGAUUGGAAUGCAGUUGUGCUCAUUAGUUUUCAUCUUGUCUGUGGCUGCUUUCCUGCUACAACAGCAGAG
This 3368-nucleotide long non-coding RNA is filed under the name Canis lupus familiaris (dog). RNAcentral's name for it is "lncRNA (ENSCAFG00000051898.1)". Lineage: Eukaryota; Metazoa; Chordata; Mammalia; Carnivora; Canidae. The record is from RNAcentral.